Long non-coding RNA from Galleria mellonella (greater wax moth), 609 nucleotides. RefSeq lists it as uncharacterized. NCBI's taxonomy places the organism in Eukaryota, Metazoa, Arthropoda, Insecta, Lepidoptera, Pyralidae. The transcript has 2 exons. The record is from RefSeq and is a predicted model, not a curated record.
UUUGAUAGCUCAUUUCUUAAAGAAGAUUACAGGCUACUCAAAAUUACGAUAUGACCACGGGCAAAGCCGUGGGAUAUAGCUACCUUUUUUAUAAUUUUAUGAAUAAUAAAAAAAUGUAGGUAUUCAUAGAUGACCGCUAUUUUGGAUAUAAAAUGAUGAAAAUAUUAUAAUCCUUUAUUCGACUUUAUGACUAACAGGAGGUUAGUCCAAAGUACAGCGAGCACUCAACUUAUCGAGACAUCAUGCCCUCCUCUUUAUGUUGUGAUUCAUCCGUACUCUGAAAACAAUUGUAACAGUUUUAUUGAGUAUUAUCGAACAUUUUUGUAUUACUAUGAAGACUUCAAAAACAAAAAGAAAUGGAAAAAGUUGAGGCCAAUAUGCAAAUGGUACUCAAACAUGUGGUCACGGCAUGUCUCCUCGCCUUUGGGUGGCAGCCAGCCGCGUUUAGGGUGGCAAAGGUAACCAGGUGGUGGCUCUUUCGCUAAUAACUCUUCCACUUCGGGCAAUUUUAUAUCGCACAACUGUAACAAGACGUGAUGAAUUCACAAUAAUACAACCAUUUAAUAUCUAAAAUUAAUCAUUUUACAAAUAAAGCCAGUUUUAACAGUU